This is a long non-coding RNA of Diachasmimorpha longicaudata, 628 nucleotides long. RefSeq lists it as uncharacterized. The transcript has 3 exons. NCBI's taxonomy places the organism in Eukaryota, Metazoa, Arthropoda, Insecta, Hymenoptera, Braconidae. The record is from RefSeq and is a predicted model, not a curated record.
CCACGGAAUGACCGUCGGGGACAGGUGUCCUGAACGACGAUGUACUCGGACGCGGAUGAACACUGGGGAUGACAUCGAGAAUGCGGAAGAAUAUGAAUUUCAUUUUCUUAUUUUUUCUUCUAACGAAGGAAAAAUUGCAAUUUCAUUCUUCAAAGCAGGAGGGAAAAAUCUUCAAGUGUCAACCCCUGUAAUCCAAGAAAGUAUGCAAAGAUGGAUUCUUCUACCCCGGGAGGAAUUCGACACGGCAGCGGCCUAUUGUGGAUGAGGGCCUCUUCAGACCCAUCACUAUCGUUUACCUGCCUCCAUUCGCACCCUGAAACGCACGAGGAACACCUGACAGAUACUUUUGAAACAAUGAAAACAAUGCUUCGAUUCUUUUUUGUUAACUGACUCUUUGGAAAUAUUCAUUGUGUACCAGCUUUUACACUUUGUUUUAAUUUUUGUGUAUUACACCGACAUAAACAAUAUUCACUGCACUAAAAAAAAAAAAAGUUUAAGUUUAAAAUAUAUUAUAAAUACAUAACGUUUAUAAAUAAUCCUAAAAUCAAGUGUACAAUAAUGCACUUCAUUCGUCUAUUCUCACUCGGGUGACGAGAGUUAUUAAUUAUUAACGCAUAAUCGAAUUCAA